This 492-nucleotide ribosomal RNA is filed under the name uncultured bacterium. RNAcentral's name for it is "partial 16S ribosomal RNA". It matches the Rfam family "Bacterial small subunit ribosomal RNA", at positions 30 to 507 of the family's 1533-position model. The record is from RNAcentral.
AUUGAACGCUGGCGGUAGGCCUAACACAUGCAAGUCGAACGGCAGCACAGUAAGAGCUGGUGCUUAGGUGAGGCGAGUGGCGGGGGUGUGAGGUGUACAGCGGAAUGUACGUUUUCGUGGGGGAACACGUAGGGAAGCUUGCUCUAAUAGCGCAUACUACCUACAGGUGAAAGCAGGGGAUCUUCGGACCUUGCGCGAUUGAAUGAGCCGAUGUGGGAUUAGCUAGUUGGCGGGGUAAAGGCCCACCAAGGCGACGAUCCGUAGCUGGUCUGAGAGGAUGAUCAGCCACACUGGAACUGAGACACGGUCCAGACUCCUACGGGAGGCAGCAGUGGGGAAUAUUGGACAAUGGGCGCAAGCCUGAUGCAGCCGUACCGCGUGGAUGAAGAAGGCCUUCGGGUUGUAAAGUACUUUCGUCGGGAAAGAAAAGAAGAAGGUUAAUACCUCGCCGUAUUGACGGUACCCAAAGAAUAAGCACCGGCUAACUUCGUG